CGAACGGGUGAGUAAUGCGUGACCAACCUGCCCCAUGCUCCAGAAUAGCUCUUGGAAACGGGUGGUAAUGCUGGAUGCUCCAACUUGAUGCAUGUCUUGUUGGGAAAGUGUUUAGUGGCAUGGGAUGGGGUCGCGUCCUAUCAGCUUGUAGGCGGGGUAAUGGCCCACCUAGGCUUCGACGGGUAGCCGGCCUGAGGGGGCGGACGGCCACAUUGGGACUGAGAUACGGCCCAGACUCCUACGGGAGGCAGCAGCC
Molecule: ribosomal RNA, 256 nt
Filed under: uncultured Gardnerella sp.
Lineage: Bacteria; Bacillati; Actinomycetota; Actinomycetes; Bifidobacteriales; Bifidobacteriaceae
Description: partial 16S ribosomal RNA
Rfam family: Bacterial small subunit ribosomal RNA
Source: RNAcentral